UACGAAGGGGGCUAGCGUUGUUCGGAAUCACUGGGCGUAAAGCGCACGUAGGCGGAUUGUUAAGUCAGGGGUGAAAUCCUGGAGCUCAACUCCAGAACUGCCUUUGAUACUGAAGAUCUUGAGUUCGGGAGAGGUGAGUGGAACUGCGAGUGUAGAGGUGAAAUUCGUAGAUAUUCGCAAGAACACCAGUGCGAAGGCGGCUCACUGGCCCGAUACUGACGCUGAGGCACGAAAGCGUGGGGAGCAAACAGG
RNAcentral lists this ribosomal RNA (252 nucleotides) under uncultured bacterium. RNAcentral describes it as "partial 16S ribosomal RNA". It matches the Rfam family "Bacterial small subunit ribosomal RNA", at positions 524 to 776 of the family's 1533-position model. The record is from RNAcentral.